GGAUUGCCCUAGUAACGGCGAGUGAAGCGGCAACAGCUCAAAUUUGAAAUCUGGCCCUCGGGCCCGAGUUGUAAUUUGUAGAGGAUGCUUUUGGCGCGGUGCCUUCCGAGUUCCCUGGAACGGGACGCCAUAGAGGGUGAGAGCCCCGUCUGGUUGGACACCAAGCCUCUGUAAAGCUCCUUCGACGAGUCGAGUAGUUUGGGAAUGCUGCUCUAAAUGGGAGGUAUAUGUCUUCUAAAGCUAAAUACCGGCCAGAGACCGAUAGCGCACAAGUAGAGUGAUCGAAAGAUGAAAAGCACUUUGAAAAGAGAGUUAAAUAGCACGUGAAAUUGUUGAAAGGGAAGCGUUUAUGACCAGACUUGGGCUUGGUUGAUCAUCCCGCGUUCUCGCGGGUGCACUCUUCCGGCUCAGGCCAGCAUCAGUUCGCUGCGGGGGAUAAAGGCGUCGGGAAUGUGGCUCCCUCGGGAGUGUUAUAGCCCUUCGUGUAAUACCCUGCGGUGGACUGAGGACCGCGCUUCGGCAAGGAUGCUGGCGUAAUGGUCAUCAACGACCCGUCUUGAAACACGGACCAAGGAGUCGUCUUCGUAUGCGAGUGUUCGGGUGUCAAACCCCUACGCGUAAUGAAAGUGAACGCAGGUGAGAGCUUCGGCGCAUCAUCGACCGAUCCUGAUGUUCUCGGAUGGAUUUGAGUAAGAGCAUACGGGGCCGGACCCGAAAGAAGGUGAACUAUGCCUGUAUAGGGUGAAGCCAGAGGAAACUCUGGUGGAGGCUCGCAGCGGUUCUGACGUGCAAAUCGAUCGUCAAAUAUGGGCAUGGGGGCGAAAGACUAAUCGAACCUUCUAGUAGCUGGUUUCCGCCGAGC
This 862-nucleotide ribosomal RNA is filed under the name Sarcopodium flocculentum. RNAcentral describes it as "Sarcopodium sp. RHP-2020a partial large subunit ribosomal RNA". It matches the Rfam family "Eukaryotic large subunit ribosomal RNA", at positions 72 to 966 of the family's 3401-position model. Lineage: Eukaryota; Fungi; Ascomycota; Sordariomycetes; Hypocreales; Nectriaceae. The record is from RNAcentral.